GAUGGUAGUGUAUUGGACUACCAUGGCAGUCACGGGUAACGGGGAAUUAGGGUUCGAUUCCGGAGAGGGAGCCUGAGAAAUGGCUACCACUUCUAAGGAAGGCAGCAGGCGCGUAAAUUACCCAAUCCUGAUUCAGGGAGGUAGUGACAAGAAAUAACAACUCGGGUCCCUCACGGGACUGCGAGAUUGCAAUGAGAACAAUUUAAACCACUUAUCAAGGAACAAUUGGAGGGCAAGUCUGGUGCCAGCAGCCGCGGUAAUA
This 262-nucleotide ribosomal RNA is filed under the name uncultured eukaryote. Its description in RNAcentral is "partial 18S rRNA". It matches the Rfam family "Eukaryotic small subunit ribosomal RNA", at positions 324 to 584 of the family's 1831-position model. The record is from RNAcentral.